CAGAGCAUGUGACCCAGCUCUACGGCAAGAAGACUGUAGACCUGCCACCGCUGAGCUUCCCUGGAGAAUCUACGGAUAACCAGAGCUCAGCAAACCAACUCGGAGCAUUUCCUGAAUGUGAACGUCCACAGGGUAACAAAAGUACUCUGGUCAUACCUGCGUUUUGUAUUCCAAUGGACACCAACAACCGGCAUCAGGGAGAACUGUGUUCCAGGAAACGUGUUACGUUCCCCUCCUGUAUCAUCUCAUUUAAUCUUCAUAGCAAGUCAACGAGCUCUGGGCUCCCUGAGGACAGUGAGCAUAUCUUAACCACCUUUGUGCCAUCAGAGGCUAACCCAGUCGAUGCUUCUUAAAUGAAGGUCCCCAGGCAAGGGCCACCAUGACGGGAUGCCACAGGACACACUAAGGGAUAAACAGUAUGAAGAGGCUCUGGAGGGUCCUUCAUAAUAAGACAGUAUGGUGCCAUCGCUUACUAGCUGUGUGAUAACAGGACACCGACUUAGCUUCUCUGUGUCUGCGUUCUCCACGACAACGGGGGAUCAUAACAGCACCUGCUUUGUGGAGCUGCUGCGAGGGUGCAGAUGAGUGUAAGUGCGGGAGCCUGCAGCUCCUGCUCUCUGAACGUUUCAGCCCGGGCAGUUGCCCUCGCCUCUCCCCACAGCCCUUCCCUUCACCCGCCCUCCUCCACCGCUUCUUCAAGUCCCAACUUCGACGCUGCUUUCUCCUGCGCGUGUUCCCCAACCCCCCACGUCUGUGGGCCGUGCCAAUGGCCUGUCUUCCAGCAGGACCCUGGCCUUCCUCCAUCGCACACGCAUCUCACUGUGGCAUAGUUCCUUCUUAAUAAGUCAAUAAGUAGAACAAGAAUGGUAAUAUUUGUUGAGCCAAGGACUCUGUGCCAAGGACUAUGGCAGGUUCUUACAAGCACCGUCCUCACCCAUCCUCACGAUGACUCUAGGCGACAAGGCUUUGUUAUUUCCAUUUUAAAAAUGAGGAAAUGGGACAAAAUCGAUUCAGUAAACUGUCCAAGAUCACCCAGCCAGUGAGUUUCAGGACAGAUCCAGACCCAGCUCUGCCUCAUUUUGGUCCAUAUUCUCAGCAUCGUGCUAAGUGGUGUCUGCUCCACCUCCCAUCAGGCUCUACCAGGGGCGUCCUGCCUGUAGCCUGCGGACCACACGCCGCCCAAGAUGUCUGUGAAUGCAGCCCAAUGUGAAAUCACAAAUUUACUUAAAACAUUAUGAGAUUUUUUGUGUGUGGUCACAUGUUGCAAUGUAUUUAAUGUGUAGCUCAAGACAACUCCUCUUCUUCCAGUGUGGCACACAGACACCAAAAGGUUGGACACCCCUGUUCUAGAAUAUGCUAAAGUAAACAAAACUUGAACCCACACUGUGUUGAAAGCAAGUGGUUAGUAAACUGAUAAGCGCUGAAAGUCUCCGCCGCCUUUCACCUGGUUCUUCGGUUUGUGGCGUGGCCGGGACUGGGCUUGUGAGAAAGCCAGGGAAG
Molecule: long non-coding RNA, 1500 nt
Organism: Artibeus jamaicensis (Jamaican fruit-eating bat)
Lineage: Eukaryota; Metazoa; Chordata; Mammalia; Chiroptera; Phyllostomidae
Exons: 3
Source: RefSeq, a predicted model, not a curated record